This 170-nucleotide ribosomal RNA is filed under the name Micromesistius poutassou (blue whiting). Its description in RNAcentral is "partial 12S rRNA". Lineage: Eukaryota; Metazoa; Chordata; Actinopteri; Gadiformes; Gadidae. The record is from RNAcentral.
CACCGCGGUUAUACGAGAGGCUCAAAUUGAUGAAAAACGGCGUAAAGCGUGGUUAAGAAAACAAGAGAUAUAUGGCCGAACAGCUUCAAAGCAGUUAUACGCAUUCGAAACCACGAAGAACACCCACGAAAGUUGCCCUAAAAAACUCUGAUUCCACGAAAACCAUAGAA